GAUGAACGCUGGCGGCGUGCCUAAUACAUGCAAGUCGAGCGAACAGACGAGGAUCUUGCUCCUCUGACUUUAUCGGCGGACGGGUUAUUAACACGUGGAUAACCUACCUAUAAGACUGGGAUAACUUCGGGAAACCGGAGCUAAUACCGGAUAAUAUAUUGAACCGCAUUGUUCAAUAGUGAAAGACGGUUUUGCUUUCACUUAUAGAUGGAUCCGCGCCGCAUUAGCUAGUUGUUAAGGUAACGGCUUAACAAGGCAACGAUGCGUAGCCGACCUGAGAGGGUGAUCCGCCACCCUGGCACUGAGAAACGGUCCAGACUCCUACGGGAGGCAGCAGUCGGGAAUCUUCCGCAAUGCGCGAAAGCCUGACGGAGCAACGCCGCGUGAGUGAUGAAGGUCUUCGGAUCGUAAAACUCUGUUAUUAGGGAAGAAGAAAUGUGUAAGUACCUAUGAACGUAUUGACGGUACCUAAUCAGAAAGCCACGGCUAACUACGUG
This 497-nucleotide ribosomal RNA is filed under the name uncultured bacterium. RNAcentral describes it as "partial 16S ribosomal RNA". It matches the Rfam family "Bacterial small subunit ribosomal RNA", at positions 28 to 507 of the family's 1533-position model. The record is from RNAcentral.